AUAGUGUCAGAUGACAGAUCGUCAAUAAAAGUAUGCACGUUGUAACUGAUAAACUAAUGUUUAUACAUGUUACAUAGAUAUAUUAAUUGGUUUGUUGGUGGUUGAUGAACAUCUUUUGGAAUAUUUAGAUAUAAGAUAUGUGUACAUUAUGUAUACGACAAAAAAAAACACACAAAAAUCACAAAAAGUAACAAAGAAAAA
RNAcentral lists this long non-coding RNA (201 nucleotides) under Mytilus galloprovincialis (Mediterranean mussel). The record is from RNAcentral. Lineage: Eukaryota; Metazoa; Mollusca; Bivalvia; Mytilida; Mytilidae.